CGGGACACUCAGGUAACCACUGGCACACAAAACACACUAACUCAUCCUUUUGAUCAUUCACCUUUUGAGUGUAGGGCUCACCAGACUGUGAGCUCUGGAAGCCCAGGAAGCAACCACCGUGAGCCUGCCCCAGGCUGAACACGCCUCCAGAGAAGACGCAACUCUUGCUGGAGACUCACCUCUUUGGAAUGUGGUGUCCCCCCCACGUGAUGGCGAUGCUGUAUUUCCCUGGGGUGCUGGGGUAAUACUCAAAUGCAUAGACUCCAUCCAGAAAGCCUUUCUGUUUCACCAGCUCCUCCAGACCCUCUGUGGGAAGAAAGCACACCUUCCUUCCAAAGCAAUCCCAAGCUGAGAACAAGAAUCCAAAGGACAAGAACAGAAAGAGCAAUAUCCACAAGACAUAAGCCACACAGGGAACCAAAGUGGGCUGCCUCAGAGUGUGACACCCUCAAAAACUGAGAUUCAUCCAAGCCUAAAAAUAGACCCAUCUCUGCCUCAAAGUGUGGGGAAAUGAAGACUUUCCAGCAAACCGGCUUUAGAAGGCUCUCUGAGCUAUUGGGGAUGGAGGAGUCCUUGACCUCCUGGGUCUGUGUAAAAACAAAUCUAGUCAUACCUCAAUUUUUCUUAACGAUCGCUGUCUUAGCCUCUCACAAAACUGAGGAGGGACUGAACCCUUAUGAGUAUUUGGCAUGCGUUUCAGGUUACUGUCUUGGCACAUCUCUUUUAAAGCUGGACAACCAAAGGGAGAAAACUCCUGAGUACUAUCUACAAGAAGACAGGUUUUAAAUGCUGUACCACAAACUCCAAACUGAGCCAUCAGUAGGCUCCAUAGCCAGGAUGGAGCUCAAUACAAGUCUCCAAUUCACAAGACCUGAGCUGAGAUCAAGAGUCAGACGCUUAACGGACUGAGCCACCCAAGUACUUCUGUCCUUGUUAUUUAAGCGAUACCUGAUUCUGAAAUAUUCAGAGCAGUUCAGUGAGAAGUCUAUACAACUAUGGAAAAUGAUUUACACUCGAAAAAGUGCCACGUCUGCCUCCAUGGUUUUUGAAGAGAAAUCUGCCAUCCUAUUUCUUCCUUAUGGGCAGCUCCUUCAACAACUAUACAGUGCCAACAUCACAUGAACAUGCAAAGGAGAUGGUUUUCAGUUUAAGAGGAGAAGAAAAACAUACCACACCACUUACUGAGGGUGGAAGAGCGAAGAAAUAGGUCAUGAAGCAGAGACAUGAUGUUAAAACCAAACCAAAGAAACACAGUUUGGUGUCCCAAGAUAGUCUUUAAAAUUUUUGGAGCAAAAACAAUAGAAAAUUUUGCCACAUGUGACAAAGAGCGAUGUGAAGAUUUUUGAAUGAUCUGCAAGCCCCUAAGAAAUAAGAACCUAUUAUUAUGGGUAAACUGAGGAAGAUGGGAGCAUGCCAGAGGCAAUACUCUUUGAAGGCGGAUGCUGAGGAGGUCAGACUGCCUGCCAGACCCAAAGGGUACCCACAGGGUGCCAGAACAAGCUGGAAGAUGGAAAUAGACUCAUUGUAUUGCUCAUAUAUAUACCUGUGGAACACCCAGCCAGUCAUCUGCUUGCUGCAUAGCCUCCCGUGCAUUGUCCUACAGGCUUUCGUGGAUCCCAUGAUUCCCAGUCUGGGCACAGACCUGUUAAUAUAACACAAAAGAUUCUGUAAGUAUUAGCUGACUGAAGAGAUUAAAGGAAGUCAUGUGCUUAAAUUAAACCCCUUUGGUAUCUUAAUUCAGAAAACAAUUUCUUCCAAAAAUCAUAGUCAAUUAUAUAUCUUAAGG
This is a long non-coding RNA of Canis lupus familiaris (dog), 1786 nucleotides long. RefSeq lists it as uncharacterized. NCBI's taxonomy places the organism in Eukaryota, Metazoa, Chordata, Mammalia, Carnivora, Canidae. The record is from RefSeq and is a predicted model, not a curated record. The transcript has 6 exons.